This 349-nucleotide ribosomal RNA is filed under the name Siderolamprus rozellae. RNAcentral describes it as "Celestus rozellae partial 12S ribosomal RNA". It matches the Rfam family "Bacterial small subunit ribosomal RNA", at positions 845 to 1363 of the family's 1533-position model. The record is from RNAcentral. Lineage: Eukaryota; Metazoa; Chordata; Lepidosauria; Squamata; Diploglossidae.
GUCAUAACCUUAGAUUUAUUAUCCGCCAGAGAACUACUAGCGAAAAGCUUAAAACUCAAAGGAUUUGGCGGUGCUCCACCCAACCUAGAGGAGCCUGUCCUAUAAUCGAUACCCCACGAUCAACCUCACCAUCUUUAGCAACCUCAGUUUAUAUACCGCCGUCGUCAGCUUAUCUUGCAAAAACCCAAAAAUAAGCAAAAUAGUCCACCACUAAAACGUCAGGUCAAGGCGUAGCUCAUAAGAUGGCAGUGAUGGGCUACACUCUCCAUAUAGUGGAGAAAACGAAAGAUAUGGUGCAACCAAUAUCAGAAGGCGGAUUUAGAAGUAAAAUUAACCAGAACAUCAAUUU